UGGACUCGCGGCUUAUCAGCUUGUUGGUGGGGUAGUGGCUUACCAAGGCUUUGACGGGUAGCCGGCCUGAGAGGGUGACCGGCCACAUUGGGACUGAGAUACGGCCCAGACUCCUACGGGAGGCAGCAGUGGGGAAUAUUGCACAAUGGGCGGAAGCCUGAUGCAGCAACGCCGCGUGCGGGAUGACGGCCUUCGGGUUGUAAACCGCUUUCGCCUGUGACGAAGCGUGAGUGACGGUAAUGGGUAAAGAAGCACCGGCUAACUACGUGCCAGCAGCCGCGGUGAUACGUAGGGUGCGAGCGUUGUCCGGAUUUAUUGGGCGUAAAGGGCUCGUAGGUGGUUGAUCGCGUCGGAAGUGUAAUCUUGGGGCUUAACCCUGAGCGUGCUUUCGAUACGGGUUGACUUGAGGAAGGUAGGGGAGAAUGGAAUUCCUGGUGGAGCGGUGGAAUGCGCAGAUAUCAGGAGGAACACCAGUGGCGAAGGCGGUUCUCUGGGCCUUUCCUGACGCUGAGGAGCGAAAGCGUGGGGAGCGAACAGGCUUAGAUACCCUGGUAGUCCACGCUGUAAACGGUGGGUACUAGGUGUGGGGUCCAUUCCACGGGUUCCGUGCCGUAGCUAACGCUUUAAGUACCCCGCCUGGGGAGUACGGCCGCAAGGCUAAAACUCAAAGGAAUUGACGGGGCCCCGCACAAGCGGCGGAGCAUGCGGAUUAAUUCGAUGCAACGCGUAGAACCUUACCUGGGUUUGACAUGGAUCGGGAGCGCUCAGAGAUGGGUGUGCCUCUUUUGGGGUCGGUUCACAGGUGGUGCAUGGCUGUCGUCAGCUCGUGUCGUGAGAUGUUGGGUUAAGUCCCGCAACGAGCGCAACCCUUGUUCACUGUUGCCAGCACGUUAUGGUGGGGACUCAGUGGAGACCGCCGGGGUCAACUCGGAGGAAGGUGGGGAUGACGUCAAGUCAUCAUGCCCCUUAUGUCCAGGGCUUCACGCAUGCUACAAUGGCUGGUACAGAGAGUGGCGAG
Molecule: ribosomal RNA, 1018 nt
Filed under: Cutibacterium acnes HL030PA2
Lineage: Bacteria; Bacillati; Actinomycetota; Actinomycetes; Propionibacteriales; Propionibacteriaceae
Description: bacterial SSU rRNA
Rfam family: Bacterial small subunit ribosomal RNA
Source: RNAcentral